AGCGACUGAAGUAAUGCCUGAUACUGCCAUUACCCUGCUACUGUGUGUGGGAUUGUGCAAAAAUGACUGAGCACAUCAGUUUUCUCUGAAAUGGAGACCAGUAAAGUUAGAGUCUGAGUGGUCAGGCGGUCGCUCCUUCCUGUGCGCUACAUGUGGAGUCAGGUGUGUGUUUGGAGGCAGACAGCUCAGCCGUCCGUCUUUCUACCCUCAUAUAUGUUCCUCUGAAGAGGCAAAAACACCCACAGACACGGAAAACGAAGCAGGGAGGACUCUCACCCUUUUCUCAAGUAGUUAUUUUCUCCACCACCAGAUGGCGACAAAUGUUCAGAAAAGGCAGCCCGGCAUCAACCGGAAGCAGGUUCUCACGCCGCCGCCAGGUUUCCUGCAGCUUCAAUGAUGUUAUUGAAAUAGAGAAAUAUUCUGA
This is a non-coding RNA of Poecilia reticulata (guppy), 424 nucleotides long. The record is from RefSeq and is a predicted model, not a curated record. Lineage: Eukaryota; Metazoa; Chordata; Actinopteri; Cyprinodontiformes; Poeciliidae.